Molecule: ribosomal RNA, 775 nt
Filed under: uncultured Neocallimastigales
Lineage: Eukaryota; Fungi; Neocallimastigomycota; Neocallimastigomycetes; Neocallimastigales
Description: partial large subunit ribosomal RNA
Rfam family: Eukaryotic large subunit ribosomal RNA
Source: RNAcentral
CGCAUCUGUGCAUGCAGCAUAUCAAUAAGCGGAGGAAAAGGAAACUAACAAGGAUUCCCCUAGUAACGGCGAGUGAAGCGGGAAGAGCUCAAAUUUGAAAUCUUAAAGGGUUUCCCUUUACGAAUUGUAGUUUAAAGAAGUGUUUUCUGUUGAGGUUUUGGUAAAAGUUCUUUGGAAUAGGACAUCAUAGAGGGUGAGAAUCCCGUAUUUGACCUUUACUUUCAACUUUGUGAUACACUUUCAAAGAGUCGGAUUGUUUGGGAAUGCAGUCCAAAAUGGGUGGUAAAUUUCAUCUAAAGCUAAAUAUUGGCGAGAGACCGAUAGCGAACAAGUACCGUGAGGGAAAGAUGAAAAGAACUUUGAAAAGAGAGUUAAACAGUACGUGAAAUUGUCAAAAGGGAAGCGUUUGACACCAGUGUUGUUUUUCUGAAAAUCAAUUAAAGAACUGUUUAUGCUAAGUUGUUUAGACUUUAUCAGCUAACUGUUUAGUUUUGAGCUUUUCUUUAAUGCACUUUUCAGUUAACAAGUCAACAUCAAUUUCUCUUGCUGUAAAAAAGCUUGAGGAAGGUGGCUUGAGAUUCGUCUUAAGUGUUUAUAGCCUCUUGCCUAUGCAGUCGGAGAGAUUGAGGUCUGCAGCGUAGAUCCUUCGGGGCUAAAUGCAUUUGUGCUAAGUUAUAGCAUUUUAUAGACAACUUGUUGACUAUGAUUUGUCUUGUAGCUUACUCGCUUAUGUUAUUUUACCUACGCUUAGGAUGUUGAACGCGCACAGAGUCUC